This 339-nucleotide telomerase RNA is filed under the name Mus caroli (Ryukyu mouse). Its description in RNAcentral is "sRNA (MGP_CAROLIEiJ_G0008705.1)". It matches the Rfam family "Vertebrate telomerase RNA". Rfam says of the family: Telomerase is a ribonucleoprotein reverse transcriptase that synthesises telomeric DNA. Telomerase RNAs differ greatly in sequence and structure between vertebrates, ciliates and yeasts, but they share a 5' pseudoknot structure close to the template sequence. Lineage: Eukaryota; Metazoa; Chordata; Mammalia; Rodentia; Muridae. The record is from RNAcentral.
GUGUGGCCUGUGUCUAACCCUGCUUUGCUUUAGCCAUGGAUUCUGUUCUUUUGUCCUCUGCCCGCUGUUUUUCUCCCUGACUUCCAGUGUCCCAGGAAAGUCCAGACCUGCAGCGGGCCACCGUGCGGUCCGGUCCGGAGCCGCCCCGCCCGGAGCCCGCCUGGGGUCUUGGGACUCCGCUGCCACCGGGAAGAGUUUGGCUCUGUCAGCCGUGGGGCGCCGGGGCCUGGGGCCAGGCCGGGCGGGCGAGUGCCGCGAGGACAGAAACGGAACUGGUCCCCGCAUUCGGUGGCUCUCCUAAGCUGCGGGAAGUGCACCGGGACCCAGGCUCUCUCAACC